Molecule: ribosomal RNA, 3110 nt
Filed under: Salmonella enterica
Lineage: Bacteria; Pseudomonadati; Pseudomonadota; Gammaproteobacteria; Enterobacterales; Enterobacteriaceae
Description: 23S ribosomal RNA
Rfam family: Bacterial large subunit ribosomal RNA
Source: RNAcentral
GGGUUGUGAGGUUAAGCGACUAAGCGUACACGGUGGAUGCCCUGGCAGUCAGAGGCGAUGAAGGGCGUGCUAAUCUGCGAUAAGCGCCGGUAAGGUGAUAUGAACCGUUAUAACCGGCGAUACCCGAAUGGGGAAACCCAGUGUGAUUCGUCACACUAUCAUUAACUGAAUCCAUAGGUUAAUGAGGCGAACCGGGGGAACUGAAACAUCUAAGUACCCCGAGGAAAAGAAAUCAACCGAGAUUCCCCCAGUAGCGGCGAGCGAACGGGGAGGAGCCCAGAGCCUGAAUCAGCAUGUGUGUUAGUGGAAGCGUCUGGAAAGGCGCGCGAUACAGGGUGACAGCCCCGUACACAAAAGCGCAUGUGCUGUGAGCUCGAUGAGUAGGGCGGGACACGUGGUAUCCUGUCUGAAUAUGGGGGGACCAUCCUCCAAGGCUAAAUACUCCUGACUGACCGAUAGUGAACCAGUACCGUGAGGGAAAGGCGAAAAGAACCCCGGCGAGGGGAGUGAAAAAGAACCUGAAACCGUGUACGUACAAGCAGUGGGAGCCCCACCACCAAAGCAUUCUCUGGUGUUGAAGGCCCUGCAAAGCAGCAUCGCGGUGGCGGAGCGUCGUUUGCGACGCCCAACACACAAAACAAGCGGUGAAUGCUUUGGGGUGGGGUGACUGCGUACCUUUUGUAUAAUGGGUCAGCGACUUAUAUUCUGUAGCAAGGUUAACCGAAUAGGGGAGCCGGAGGGAAACCGAGUCUUAAUUGGGCGUUAAGUUGCAGGGUAUAGACCCGAAACCCGGUGAUCUAGCCAUGGGCAGGUUGAAGGUUGGGUAACACUAACUGGAGGACCGAACCGACUAAUGUUGAAAAAUUAGCGGAUGACCUGUGGCUGGGGGUGAAAGGCCAAUCAAACCGGGAGAUAGCUGGUUCUCCCCGAAAGCUAUUUAGGUAGCGCCUCGUGAAUUCAUCUCCGGGGGUAGAGCACUGUUUCGGCUAGGGGGCCAUCCCGGCUUACCAACCCGAUGCAAACUGCGAAUACCGGAGAAUGUUAUCACGGGAGACACACGGCGGGUGCUAACGUCCGUCGUGAAGAGGGAAACAACCCAGACCGCCAGCUAAGGUCCCAAAGUCAUGGUUAAGUGGGAAACGAUGUGGGAAGGCCCAGACAGCCAGGAUGUUGGCUUAGAAGCAGCCAUCAUUUAAAGAAAGCGUAAUAGCUCACUGGUCGAGUCGGCCUGCGCGGAAGAUGUAACGGGGCUAAACCAUGCACCGAAGCUGCGGCAGCGAACGUAUCACUUAAAGCGAUUCAGCGGGUUACGAUUGACGGAGCGAAGCGACGUCAAAGCGUAUACAAAGUCGAGUCGGUUUAAGGAUACGUUCGUUGGGUAGGGGAGCGUUCUGUAAGCCCGUGAAGGUGGCCUGUGAGGGUUGCUGGAGGUAUCAGAAGUGCGAAUGCUGACAUAAGUAACGAUAAAGCGGGUGAAAAGCCCGCUCGCCGGAAGACCAAGGGUUCCUGUCCAACGUUAAUCGGGGCAGGGUGAGUCGACCCCUAAGGCGAGGCCGAAAGGCGUAGUCGAUGGGAAACGGGUUAAUAUUCCCGUACUUGGUGUUACUGCGAAGGGGGGACGGAGAAGGCUAUGUUGGCCGGGCGACGGUUGUCCCGGUUUAAGCGUGUAGGUGUGUGUUCCAGGUAAAUCCGGUUCACUUUAACACUGAGGCGUGACGACGAGGCACUACGGUGCUGAAGCAACAAAUGCCCUGCUUCCAGGAAAAGCCUCUAAGCAUCAGGUAACACGAAAUCGUACCCCAAACCGACACAGGUGGUCAGGUAGAGAAUACCAAGGCGCUUGAGAGAACUCGGGUGAAGGAACUAGGCAAAAUGGUGCCGUAACUUCGGGAGAAGGCACGCUGACACGUAGGUGAAGUGAUUUACUCAUGGAGCUGAAGUCAGUCGAAGAUACCAGCUGGCUGCAACUGUUUAUUAAAAACACAGCACUGUGCAAACACGAAAGUGGACGUAUACGGUGUGACGCCUGCCCGGUGCCGGAAGGUUAAUUGAUGGGGUCAGCGUAAGCGAAGCUCCUGAUCGAAGCCCCGGUAAACGGCGGCCGUAACUAUAACGGUCCUAAGGUAGCGAAAUUCCUUGUCGGGUAAGUUCCGACCUGCACGAAUGGCGUAAUGAUGGCCAGGCUGUCUCCACCCGAGACUCAGUGAAAUUGAACUCGCUGUGAAGAUGCAGUGUACCCGCGGCAAGACGGAAAGACCCCGUGAACCUUUACUAUAGCUUGACACUGAACAUUGAGCCUUGAUGUGUAGGAUAGGUGGGAGGCUUUGAAGUGUGGACGCCAGUCUGCAUGGAGCCGACCUUGAAAUACCACCCUUUAAUGUUUGAUGUUCUAACGUGGACCCGUAAUCCGGGUUGCGGACAGUGUCUGGUGGGUAGUUUGACUGGGGCGGUCUCCUCCUAAAGAGUAACGGAGGAGCACGAAGGUUGGCUAAUCCUGGUCGGACAUCAGGAGGUUAGUGCAAUGGCAUAAGCCAGCUUGACUGCGAGCGUGACGGCGCGAGCAGGUGCGAAAGCAGGUCAUAGUGAUCCGGUGGUUCUGAAUGGAAGGGCCAUCGCUCAACGGAUAAAAGGUACUCCGGGGAUAACAGGCUGAUACCGCCCAAGAGUUCAUAUCGACGGCGGUGUUUGGCACCUCGAUGUCGGCUCAUCACAUCCUGGGGCUGAAGUAGGUCCCAAGGGUAUGGCUGUUCGCCAUUUAAAGUGGUACGCGAGCUGGGUUUAGAACGUCGUGAGACAGUUCGGUCCCUAUCUGCCGUGGGCGCUGGAGAACUGAGGGGGGCUGCUCCUAGUACGAGAGGACCGGAGUGGACGCAUCACUGGUGUUCGGGUUGUCAUGCCAAUGGCACUGCCCGGUAGCUAAAUGCGGAAGAGAUAAGUGCUGAAAGCAUCUAAGCACGAAACUUGCCCCGAGAUGAGUUCUCCCUGAGACUUAGAGUCUCCUGAAGGAACGUUGAAGACGACGACGUUGAUAGGCCGGGUGUGUAAGCGCAGCGAUGCGUUGAGCUAACCGGUACUAAUGAACCGUGAGGCUUAACCUUACAACGCCGAAG